Molecule: long non-coding RNA, 1197 nt
Filed under: Lynx pardinus (Iberian lynx)
Lineage: Eukaryota; Metazoa; Chordata; Mammalia; Carnivora; Felidae
Source: RNAcentral
ACUAAAGUCUUGUUGUCAGCGUACCAUGAGCCUGGCAUGGAGAGAGCUGCUAAGAAUAAAGCACAGAGUGCCACGGUGUGGAUGGACCCAGAGGACACUGUGUGCAGUGACAGAAGACAGACACAGAAGGUAUGUCCUGUGUGACUCCACUCACAGGGGGUCCCUAGAGGAAUCCCAUCCAGAGCACUGGUGGGAUCCAGUGCUGGGACAAAGAGCGGGGAGUCAGUGUUUCAUGGGGACAGAGUCUCAGUUUGGGGAGAUGGAAAGUUCUGGAGACAGAUGGUGGGAGUGGCUGCAUGACAGUGUGAGUGUUGCCUGAUGCUGCUGAACUGUGCCCUUAAGAGUGGUUAAAAUGGUACAUUUAAUUUUAUGUAUAUCUCACCACAACUAAAAAAUUUUAAAUUUCUUUUUUAAAUGUUUAUUUUGAGAGAGAGACAGAGUGUGAGUGGGGGAGGAGCAGAGAGAGAAGGAGACUGAAAACCCCAAACAGGCUCUGCAUUGACAGCUCAAACGAGGGGCAAAACCCCACAAACUGUGAGGUCAUGACCCGAGCCAAAGAGUCAGAUGCUCACCUGAGCCACCCAGGCGCCCCCCCCCCAAAUUUUCAUUAAUGGAGUAUAAAACGAACCCUAGGUCCUCACAGUUCACAGUCUAGUGAGAGAGAGACAAAUAUAAAUGAAUUAAUAGCACACCACGAUGGACAGAUUUCUAAGAUGGUUCCACAUGAUCUCGACAUCCUAGUACCCAUGCCUUUGUGCGAUUCCCUCCUUGACUCUGGGCUGCCCCUGGGGACUUGAUUCUAACAAACAGAAUAUGGCAGAGGAAUAGGAUGUCAUUUCCCUGACUGGGUUACAAAACACCGACUUCUGUCCUCCUAGCACAACUCCAUUGCCUUUUCAGCUUGUAUGCCUUGACGAAGCAAGCUGAGAUGCUGGAGAGGCCCACACUGCAAGGGGCUGAGGAUGACCGCCAGCCAACAGUCAGCAGACCUUCAGUGCAAGAGCCUGUUAAAUUACUGGAUCCUGCCAACAUCAUGAAUGAUCAUGGAAGGGGGUCCUGUCUCAGUCAUGCCUUCCGAUGACCGCUGCUCAGUGGGCACCUUGAUUAUAGACUUUGAGAGACCCUGAAGCUGAGGGCCCAUCUAAGCUGCACCUGGAUUCCUAAUCCACAAAAACUAUGGGAUAACAAAUGUUGCUG